Non-coding RNA from Paramuricea clavata, 217 nucleotides. Lineage: Eukaryota; Metazoa; Cnidaria; Anthozoa; Malacalcyonacea; Plexauridae. The record is from the annotation of a GenBank genome assembly.
AUUCUUCCUGCAACAAUUGAGCCACGUCAGCCAGAGUGCUGUAUUCUUCGAACCGACGAUAGACAAAUCGGUUUUGCUGGUCCCAAAAAAUUUCAAUUGGGUUGAGAUCUCGCGAGUUCGCAGGUCACAUCAUUCUCAUUCUGAGAAGAUGAUGCCUUGAAGUUAUCAAGAAGUGUGGUGGUUACACUCAUUAUAUUUAAUAAAUCAUUGAUGAAAC